Molecule: long non-coding RNA, 205 nt
Filed under: Theobroma cacao (cacao)
Lineage: Eukaryota; Viridiplantae; Streptophyta; Magnoliopsida; Malvales; Malvaceae
Description: long non-coding RNA (TCAC_LNC005711)
Source: RNAcentral
GAAGACUAAAAUGCCCCUUAUAACUUAAAAAUAUUACAACCUUAGACCUAUAAAUAUUUUUUUUCUUCUCAUUUUUCCUUUUUCUUUCUUUUUCUUCUCACGUUCUUUCCUCUCUCAUUCUCUCUCUAAGUGGCACUCAACACCGGAGAUGAUGUAGUGGUGGCUGCAAUGGCGGUGACGGCGAUUUCACAACCGAAUAUGGUCG